UUCUUUGUGCAGUGGCAGUAUCGUAACCAAAGAGCUCAAUCUGAGGCAUGAUUAUUGCUAAUAGAAAACUUUCCCCAAUACCCUGCCAUGAUGACUCGUUAUCUCCGUAUGUGCUAGACCUUGUCCAUACAUAUGG
Molecule: small nuclear RNA, 136 nt
Organism: Pelodiscus sinensis (Chinese soft-shelled turtle)
Lineage: Eukaryota; Metazoa; Chordata; Testudines; Trionychidae
Gene: U4
Rfam family: U4 spliceosomal RNA
About the family: U4 small nuclear RNA (U4 snRNA) is a component of the major U2-dependent spliceosome. The structure of U4 snRNA from yeast and human has been reported.
Source: Ensembl